This is a long non-coding RNA of Lepus europaeus (European hare), 485 nucleotides long. RefSeq lists it as uncharacterized. NCBI's taxonomy places the organism in Eukaryota, Metazoa, Chordata, Mammalia, Lagomorpha, Leporidae. The record is from RefSeq and is a predicted model, not a curated record. The transcript has 3 exons.
GUGGAAAAGAGCACAGUUGGGAUCCAGCCAUCACUCUUGUUCCUGAAGCUUCUAGGAGCUUGAAUAAACCCUUUCCUGUUACCCGCUCUCGUCCCUGGUGAACUGGCUGUCCAGCGGUGAGCAGCGAAGGCUUACUGUUGAAGAUGCAUGGUAGAAGGAAAAUAGCAGUUCGACUUCUUGGUGGUGAUGGUGAAUGAGGAACUGUUAAACACAGAGGAAGACUAACAUGGCGUGAAGCUUCCUACCGUUUACCAUGAGAAACCAAAGACGUUUAAAAAAUUCAAAAAAAUUUCAAGGGCUGCACCAAAACUCUGAAAACAGCAUCAAGCUUUGAAAUCGAUACUGAGCACCUUCUGUCCAGGAGGGAAGAGAAGUGCAUCACACGUGAAGGGACUCGAGGGCGGCCAGAGCUUGAAAAAGGUGGUAAGAGAGGAAGGGAAGUACCCAGAGAGCAACAGACACGGGCACAUUCAGGUACCUUCUCG